CCGUCGUCGUAGGUGAGGCCGACGUAGCCCGCGCUGCAGUUGCCGGCGGCGAGCGGGGCGGCGGCGCCGCGCUGGGCCGCGAGGCCGGCGGUGGCGGAC
RNAcentral lists this transfer RNA (99 nucleotides) under Mycobacterium tuberculosis. RNAcentral's name for it is "tRNA-Cys(gca)". Lineage: Bacteria; Bacillati; Actinomycetota; Actinomycetes; Mycobacteriales; Mycobacteriaceae. The record is from RNAcentral.